GAUGAAGAACGUAGCGAAAUGCCAUACUUGGUGUGAAUUGCAGAAUCCCGUGAACCAUCGAGUCUUUGAACGCAAGUUGCGCCCGAAGCCAUCAGGUUGAGGGCACGUCUGCCUGGGCGUCACAUAUCGUUGCCCAAUGCCUAUUGCAGUGCAAUAGGAAUUUCUAGGGCGAAUGAUGGCUUCCCGUGAGCGUUGUUGCCUCGCGGUUGGUUGAAAAUCGAGUCCUUGGUAGGGUGUGCCAUGGUAGAUGGUGGUCGAGUUAGAACGAUACCGAUCAUGUGCAUGCUCCCCAAAAUAUGGCCUCUAUGACCCACACGCGUCUUUUGGCGCUCAUGACGAGACCUCAGGUCAGGCGGGGCUACCCGCUGAAUUUAAGCAUAUCAAUAAGCGGAGGA
This 395-nucleotide unclassified non-coding RNA is filed under the name soil metagenome. RNAcentral describes it as "partial contains 5.8S ribosomal RNA, internal transcribed spacer 2, and large subunit ribosomal RNA". The stretch from base 1 to 122 matches the Rfam family "5.8S ribosomal RNA", at positions 35 to 154 of the family's 154-position model. The record is from RNAcentral.